Molecule: unclassified non-coding RNA, 347 nt
Filed under: soil metagenome
Description: partial contains 5.8S ribosomal RNA, internal transcribed spacer 2, and large subunit ribosomal RNA
Rfam family: 5.8S ribosomal RNA (bases 1-119)
Source: RNAcentral
GAUGAAGACGUAGCGAAAUGCGAUAAGUAAUGUGAAUUGCAGAAUUCAGUGAAUCAUCGAGUCUUUGAACGCACAUUGCGCCCCCUGGUAUUCCGGGGGGCAUGCCUGUCCGAGCGUCAUUGCCGCCCUCAAGCACGGCUUGUGUGUUGGGCCCCCGCCCCCCGGCUUCGGGGGGCGGGCCCGAAAGGCAGCGGCGGCACCGCGUCCGGUCCUCGAGCGUAUGGGGCUUCGUCACCCGCUCUGUAGGCCCGGCCGGCGCCCGCCGGCGACCCCAAUCAAUCUUUCCAGGUUGACCUCGGAUCAGGUAGGGAUACCCGCUGAACUUAAGCAUAUCAAUAAGCGGAGGA